CACGUAGGGGGCAAGCGUUGUCCGGAUUUAUUGGGCGUAAAGAGCUCGUAGGCGGUUCGAUAAGUCGGGUGUGAAACCUCCAGGCUCAACCUGGAGACGCCACCCGAUACUGUUGUGACUAGAGUCCGGUAGGGGAGCGUGGAAUUCCUGGUGUAGCGGUGAAAUGCGCAGAUAUCAGGAGGAACACCAGCGGCGAAGGCGGCGCUCUGGGCCGGUACUGACGCUGAGGAGCGAAAGCGUGGGUAGCAAACAGG
Molecule: ribosomal RNA, 254 nt
Filed under: uncultured bacterium
Lineage: Bacteria
Description: partial 16S ribosomal RNA
Rfam family: Bacterial small subunit ribosomal RNA
Source: RNAcentral